RNAcentral lists this ribosomal RNA (530 nucleotides) under uncultured bacterium. RNAcentral's name for it is "bacterial SSU rRNA". It matches the Rfam family "Bacterial small subunit ribosomal RNA", at positions 19 to 518 of the family's 1533-position model. The record is from RNAcentral.
CUUGGUCAGGACGAACGCUGGCGGCGUGCCUAAUACAUGCAAGUCGAACGGUCUUUUCUAUGGAAGCUUGCUUCCACUGAGAAGAUAGUGGCGAACGGGUGAGUAACACGUGGGUAACCUGCCCAUAAGAGGGGGAUAACAUCCGGAAACGGGUGCUAAUACCGCAUAGUUUUUCUUGAUUGCAUGAUUGAGAAAGGAAAGACGGCCUUUGUGCUGUCGCUUAUGGAUGGACCCGCGGCGUUAUUAGUUAGUUGGUGAGGUAACGGCUCACCAAGACGAUGAUACGUAGCCGACCUGAGAGGGUGAUCGGCCACAUUGGGACUGAGACACGGCCCAAACUCCUACGGGAGGCAGCAGUAGGGAAUCUUCCGCAAUGGACGAAAGUCUGACGGAGCAACGCCGCGUGAGUGAAGAAGGUUUUUCCGGAUCGUAAAACUCUGUUGUCAGAGAAGAACAAGUUGGAGAGUAACUGCUCCAGCCUUGACGGUAUCUGACCAGAAAGCCACGGCUAACUACGUGCCAGCCGCAGC